Molecule: transfer RNA, 86 nt
Filed under: Clostridiales bacterium
Lineage: Bacteria; Bacillati; Bacillota; Clostridia; Eubacteriales
Description: tRNA-Tyr
Rfam family: tRNA
About the family: Transfer RNA (tRNA) molecules are approximately 80 nucleotides in length. Their secondary structure includes four short double-helical elements and three loops (D, anti-codon, and T loops).
Source: RNAcentral
GGGAGAGUUCCCGAGUGGCCAAAGGGGGCAGACUGUAAAUCUGUUGCUUUAUCGCUUCGAUGGUUCGAAUCCAUCCUCUCCCACCA